UCCUCCUGGGAGCCAUCUCCCUGUGGCCACUGGGAUGGCCCAGCGGUGCCUCCUGGCUUGGAGCAGAGUGCAGCCCAGCCUGUGCUGGCCCAGUGUCCCCGGCCAUGCCCUCGGUGCCCCGCUGGGCGCGGCGCCGCGGGCGGGAGCCACGUGCGAGGCCCGGCACAGGCGUCUCCGCUUUCCUGUGGUGAAGCAAAUUGCUCCCUGGAGCGUGAGAUCUGAUUAGAUUCGUGACACACCGCAGCGUGGCAACAACACCACGGCCAGGACCACGAUCUAGCUGGCAAAGCAGCUGCAGCACCAACCCACCAGGGCAGCAGCUCACCGAGCCUUGGAGAGCCCCAGGCAGAUGGGGGUCAUGGGAGCUGCCCAGCCAGGAGAGGAUGUAUCUUCAAAGGCCUCUCAAGGCAACAAACAGUACCUGUUUUGCAGUUUACCCUUCACAUUUCCUGCCUUGAAUGGCUCCUGAGCGAUGCCUGCCUCUUCAUUUGAGAUCUUUCAACAGCUGUCUGAUAGAGAAGACCUUUAUCUCGCCUCUCCCGGGCUCCCAUCCAACACCAGUCUCUGGAGGCACAAUAAGAUGAGGAGUCACCUCUGCCACCCCAAGAUAUCUGCACGGGGACCUCUAGAAAUGAAGGUUGCCCACCCUGGGUUGCUCCUGCACAGCCAGAGAGACAAAGACACUGCCAAGUUUCCCCUGAGAUCUGCAACGUGUCCUUCAGCAUCCCAUUGUACCCUGGGAUCCACUGAAAGGGUUUUCAGGCACUAGAACAGGAAAUGGUGGAGUCACCAUGCCUGAAAGUGUGCAAAAAACGCAUAGAUGCAGCACCUGGGGACACGGUUUGGUGGUGGCCUUGACACUGCUGGGUGAAUGGCUGGAUUUGAUGAUCCCAGAGGGCUUUUCCAACCUUCAUGAAUCCAUGAUUCAAUUCACUGCUUGGGCCUUUGCUGGCCCCAAGGAAUGAAGGCACCAGGCUGUGUUUGUGCUCUCCAGAGGGGCUGUGCCAUCAGCAUCUUCUCCUGUCCCCAGCACGUGCAACUGCAUGACAUACUCACCAGUCCUGGGGCUGGGAUUAAAGACACACAGGUGCAGAGUUUCUUCCCAUCUGGGUGCUCUGGACAGAGCUUUGCCUGAAGGAGGAGGUGCACAAAGCUUCACACCCUGCUGACUGGAAAGAAAGGAUUGUUCUCCCUAGAUCACAGCUGGGGAAGUUGAGUCACGGGGCAGUAAAUCUCAGAGCUCAGAGAAAAGUGGUUUGGCUAAAUUUGUCUUG
Vidua chalybeata is the source of this 1274-nucleotide long non-coding RNA. RefSeq lists it as uncharacterized. The record is from RefSeq and is a predicted model, not a curated record. Lineage: Eukaryota; Metazoa; Chordata; Aves; Passeriformes; Viduidae. The transcript is spliced from 3 exons.